This 253-nucleotide ribosomal RNA is filed under the name uncultured bacterium. Its description in RNAcentral is "partial 16S ribosomal RNA". It matches the Rfam family "Bacterial small subunit ribosomal RNA", at positions 524 to 776 of the family's 1533-position model. The record is from RNAcentral.
UACGUAGGUGGCAAGCGUUGUCCGGAUUUACUGGGCGUAAAGAGCGCGCAGGCGGUCGUUCAAGUCGCGUGUGAAAGCCCCCGGCCCAACUGGGGAGGGUCACGCGAUACUGAUCGACUGGAAGGCAGGAGAGGGUAGUGGAAUUCCCGGUGUAGUGGUGAAAUGCGUAGAUAUCGGGAGGAACACCAGUGGCGAAGGCGACUACCUGGCCUGUUCUUGACGCUGAGGCGCGAAAGCUAGGGGAGCAAACAGG